This 422-nucleotide ribosomal RNA is filed under the name uncultured Lachnospiraceae bacterium. Its description in RNAcentral is "bacterial SSU rRNA". It matches the Rfam family "Bacterial small subunit ribosomal RNA", at positions 355 to 794 of the family's 1533-position model. Lineage: Bacteria; Bacillati; Bacillota; Clostridia; Lachnospirales; Lachnospiraceae. The record is from RNAcentral.
UGGGGAAUAUUGCACAAUGGAGGAAACUCUGAUGCAGCGACGCCGCGUGAGUGAAGAAGUAAUUCGUUAUGUAAAGCUCUAUCAGCAGGGAAGAUAGUGACGGUACCUGACUAAGAAGCUCCGGCUAAAUACGUGCCAGCAGCCGCGGUAAUACGUAUGGAGCAAGCGUUAUCCGGAUUUACUGGGUGUAAAGGGAGUGUAGGUGGCAUCACAAGUCAGAAGUGAAAGCCCGGGGCUCAACCCCGGGACUGCUUUUGAAACUGUGGAGCUAGAGUGCAGGAGGGGCAAGUGGAAUUCCUAGUGUAGCGGUGAAAUGCGUAGAUAUUACGAAGAACUCCGAUUGCGAAGGCAGCUAUCUGGGGUGCAACUGACGCUGAGGCUCGAAGGUGUGGGUAUCAAACAGGAUUAGAUACCCUGGUAGU